CUGGGGAGUACGCCGGCAACGGUGAAACUCAAAGGAAUUGACGGGGCCCCGCACAAGCGGAGGAACAUGUGGUUUAAUUCGAUGAUACGCGAGGAACCUUACCCGGGCUUGAACUGCAGGUGAAGGAUACGGAGACAUUGAGGUCCUUCGGGACACCUGUGGAGGUGCUGCAAGGUUGUCGACAGCACGUGCCGUGAGGUGUCGGCUUAAGUGCCAUAACGAGCGCAACCCCUUUUGCGAGUUGCCAUCAGGUAAUGCUGGGCACUCUGGGGACACUGACACCGUAAGGUGUGAGGAAGGAGGGGAUGACGUCAAAUCAGCACGGCCCUUACGUCCGGGGCUACACACGUGUUACAAUGGGUGGUACAGAGAGUGGGCCCAUGGCAAUUUGCAUCAAAUCAUGAAAGCCAUCCUCAGUUCGGAUUGGGGUCUGCAACCCGACCCCAUGAAGCUGGAUUCGCUAGAAAUCG
RNAcentral lists this ribosomal RNA (470 nucleotides) under uncultured bacterium. Its description in RNAcentral is "bacterial SSU rRNA". It matches the Rfam family "Bacterial small subunit ribosomal RNA", at positions 873 to 1344 of the family's 1533-position model. The record is from RNAcentral.